AGAGUUGAUCCUGGCUCAGGAUGACGCUAGCGGCAGGCUACACAUGCAAGUCGAGGGGCAGCACAGGGAGCAAUCCUGGGCGACGACCGGCGCACGGGUGCGUAACGCGUAUGCAACCUACCUGUAACAGGGGUAUAACGGAGAGAAAUUUCCACUAAUCCCCCCAUAUUGUUAGAGAUUCGCAUGUUUCUCUAACGAAAGCUUCGGUGGUUACGGAUGGGCAUGCGUGACAUUAGCUAGUUGGUAAGGUAACGGCUUACCAAGGCGACGAUGUCUAGGGGAGCUGAGAGGCUUAUCCCCCACACUGGUACUGAGACACGGACCAGACUCCUACGGGAGGCAGCAGUGAGGAAUAUUGGUCAAUGGACGGAAGUCUGAACCAGCCAUGCCGCGUGGAGGAAGAAGGUCCUAUGGGUUGUAAACCUCUUUUGUCGGGGAGCAACGAGGCCACGUGUGGCCGCAGAGAGAGUACCCGAAGAAAAAGCAUCGGCUAACUCCGUGCCAGCAGCCGCGGUAAUACGGAGGAUGCGAGCGUUAUCCGGAUUUAUUGGGUUUAAAGGGUGCGCAGGCGGCGCGGUAAGUCAGCGGUAAAAGCCCGGGGCUCAACCCCGGCGAGCCGUUGAUACUGCCGUGCUAGAGUAAGGUCGAGGUAUGCGGAAUGCGCGGUGUAGCGGUGAAAUGCAUAGAUAUCGCGCAGAACUCCGAUUGCGAAGGCAGCAUACCGGUCCUUUACUGACGCUCAGGCACGAAAGCSUGGGGAUCAAACAGGCUUAGAUACCCUGGUAGUCCACGCAGUAAA
RNAcentral lists this ribosomal RNA (799 nucleotides) under uncultured Bacteroidota bacterium. RNAcentral's name for it is "bacterial SSU rRNA". It matches the Rfam family "Bacterial small subunit ribosomal RNA", at positions 8 to 806 of the family's 1533-position model. Lineage: Bacteria; Pseudomonadati; Bacteroidota. The record is from RNAcentral.